UUCGCAAUGCCCGAAAGGGUGACGAAGCGACGCCGCGUGGAUGAAGAAGGCCUUCGGGUUGUAAAAUCCUGUCAGGAGUUAAGAAAUGUAAGUGCGCUAAUAUCGCAUUUACUUGACGAAGGCUCCAAAGGAAGCCACGGCUAACUCUGUGCCAGCAGCCGCGGUAAUACAGAGGUGGCAAGCGUUGUUCGGAAUUAUUGGGCGUAAAGAGCACGUAGGUGGGUUUGUAAGUCAGGUGUGAAAGCCUUCUGUUCAAAGGAAGAACGGCAUCUGAAACUACAGAUCUUGAGUGUAGGAGGGGAGAGUGGAACUUCUGGUGGAGCGGUGAAAUGCGUAGAUAUCAGAAGGAACGUCGGCGGCGAAAGCGACUCUCUGGCCUAUUACUGACACUGAGUGUGCGAAAGUUAGGGGAGCAAACGGGAUUAGAUACCCCGGUAGUCCUAGCCGUAAACGAUGGGCACUAAGUAGAGGGGUUUU
RNAcentral lists this ribosomal RNA (477 nucleotides) under uncultured anaerobic ammonium-oxidizing bacterium. Its description in RNAcentral is "bacterial SSU rRNA". It matches the Rfam family "Bacterial small subunit ribosomal RNA", at positions 365 to 832 of the family's 1533-position model. The record is from RNAcentral.